Molecule: ribosomal RNA, 429 nt
Filed under: Bacteroidota bacterium
Lineage: Bacteria; Pseudomonadati; Bacteroidota
Description: Bacteroidetes bacterium partial 16S ribosomal RNA
Rfam family: Bacterial small subunit ribosomal RNA
Source: RNAcentral
UAGGGAAUCUUCGGCAAUGGGGGGAACCCUGACCGAGCAACGCCGCGUGAGUGAAGAAGGUUUUCGGAUCGUAAAGCUCUGUUGUUAAGGAAGAACGAGUGUGAGAAUGGAAAGUUCAUGCUGUGACGGUACUUAACCAGAAAGGGACGGCUAACUACGUGCCAGCAGCCGCGGUAAUACGUAGGUCCCGAGCGUUGUCCGGAUUUAUUGGGCGUAAAGCGAGCGCAGGCGGUUAGAAAAGUCUGAAGUGAAAGGCAGUGGCUCAACCAUUGUAGGCUUUGUGAACUGUUUAACUUGAGUGCAUAACGGGAGAGUCGAAUUCCAUGUGUAGCCGUGAAAUGCGUAGUUAUAUGGGGGAACACCGAUGGCGAAAGCAGCUCUCUGGUCUGUAACUGACGCUGAGGCUCGAAAGCGUAGGGAGCGAACAGG